Molecule: ribosomal RNA, 343 nt
Filed under: uncultured fungus
Lineage: Eukaryota; Fungi
Description: SSU rRNA
Rfam family: Eukaryotic small subunit ribosomal RNA
Source: RNAcentral
GGUUCAUUCAAAUUUCUGCCCUAUCAACUUUCGAUGGGUGGCUUGUGGCCUGCCGUGGUGACAACGGGUAACGGAGGGUUAGGGCUCGACCCGGAGAAGGAGCCUGAGAAACGGCUACUACAUCCAAGGAAGGCAGCAGGCGCGCAAAUUACCCAAUCCCGACCGGGGAGGUAGUGACAAUAAAUACUGAUACAGGGNCUUUUUGGGUCUUGUAAUCGGAAUGAGUACAAUUUAAAUCCCCUAACGAGGAACAAUUGGAGGGCAAGUCUGGUGCCAGCAGCCGCGGUAAUUCCAGCUCCAAUAGCGUAUAUUAAAGUUGUUGAGGUUAAAAAGCUCGUAGUUG